AUAACGGUCCUAAGGUAGCGAAAUUCCUUGUCGGGUAAGUUCCGACCCGCACGAAUGGCGUAACGAUGGCCACACUGUCUCCUCCUGAGACUCAGCGAAGUUGAAGUGGUUGUGAAGAUGCAAUCUACCCGCUGCUAGACGGAAAGACCCCGUGAACCUUUACUGUAGCUUUGCAUUGGACUUUGAAGUCACUUGUGUAGGAUAGGUGGGAGGCUUUGAAGCAGAGACGCCAGUCUCUGUGGAGCCGUCCUUGAAAUACCACCCUGGUGUCUUUGAGGUUCUAACCCAGACCCGUAAUCCGGGUCGGGGACCGUGCAUGGUAGGCAGUUUGACUGGGGCGGUCUCCUCCCAAAGAGUAACGGAGGAGUUCGAAGGUUACCUAGGUCCGGUCGGAAAUCGGACUGAUAGUGCAAUGGCAAAAGGUAGCUUAACUGCGAGACCGACAAGUCGAGCAGGUGCGAAAGCAGGACAUAGUGAUCCGGUGGUUCUGUAUGGAAGGGCCAUCGCUCAACGGAUAAAAGGUACUCCGGGGAUAACAGGCUGAUUCCGCCCAAGAGUUCAUAUCGACGGCGGAGUUUGGCACCUCGAUGUCGGCUCAUCACAUCCUGGGGCUGUAGUCGGUCCCAAGGGUAUGGCUGUUCGCCAUUUAAAGUGGUACGUGAGCUGGGUUUAAAACGUCGUGAGACAGUUUGGUCCCUAUCUGCAGUGGGCGUUGGAAGUUUGACGGGGGCUGCUCCUAGUACGAGAGGACCGGAGUGGACGAACCUCUGGUGUACCGGUUGUAACGCCAGUUGCAUAGCCGGGUAGCUAAGUUCGGAAGAGAUAAGCGCUGAAAGCAUCUAAGCGCGAAACUCGCCUGAAGAUGAGACUUCCCUUGUGGUUUAACCACACUAAAGAGCCGUUCGAGACCAGGACGUUGAUAGGUGGGGUGUGGAAGCGCGGUAACGCGUGAAGCUAACCCAUACUAAUUGCUCGUGAGGCUUGACUCU
This 989-nucleotide ribosomal RNA is filed under the name human oral metagenome. RNAcentral describes it as "bacterial LSU rRNA". It matches the Rfam family "Bacterial large subunit ribosomal RNA", at positions 1942 to 2925 of the family's 2925-position model. The record is from RNAcentral.